This 652-nucleotide ribosomal RNA is filed under the name uncultured Pseudomonadota bacterium. RNAcentral describes it as "bacterial SSU rRNA". It matches the Rfam family "Bacterial small subunit ribosomal RNA", at positions 84 to 732 of the family's 1533-position model. The record is from RNAcentral. Lineage: Bacteria; Pseudomonadati; Pseudomonadota.
UAACUGAGCUAGCGGCGGACGGGUGAGUAAUGCUUAGGAAUCUGCCUAUUAGUGGGGGACAACAUUCCGAAAGGAAUGCUAAUACCGCAUACGCCCUACGGGGGAAAGCAGGGGAUCUUCGGACCUCGCGCUAAUAGAUGAGCCUAAGUCAGAUUAGCUAGUUGGUGGGGUAAAGGCCUACCAAGGCGACGAUCUGUAGCGGGUCUGAGAGGAUGAUCCGCCACACUGGGACUGAGACACGGCCCAGACUCCUACGGGAGGCAGCAGUGGGGAAUAUUGGACAAUGGGCGCAAGCCUGAUCCAGCCAUGCCGCGUGUGUGAAGAAGGCCUUUUGGUUGUAAAGCACUUUAAGCGAGGAGGAGGCUACUUGGAUUAAUACUCUAGGAUAGUGGACGUUACUCGCAGAAUAAGCACCGGCUAACUCUGUGCCAGCAGCCGCGGUAAUACAGAGGGUGCGAGCGUUAAUCGGAUUUACUGGGCGUAAAGCGUGCGUAGGCGGCUUCUUAAGUCGGAUGUGAAAUCCCUGAGCUUAACCUAGGAAUUGCAUUCGAUACUGGGAAGCUAGAGUAUGGGAGAGGAUGGUAGAAUUCCAGGUGUAGCGGUGAAAUGCGUAGAGAUCUGGAGGAUACCGAUGGCGAAGGCAGCCAUCUGG